This 26-nucleotide non-coding RNA is filed under the name Rattus norvegicus (Norway rat). The record is from RNAcentral. Lineage: Eukaryota; Metazoa; Chordata; Mammalia; Rodentia; Muridae.
UGCAUACAGAUGGUGAAGGUCAGGCA